Molecule: ribosomal RNA, 253 nt
Filed under: uncultured bacterium
Lineage: Bacteria
Description: partial 16S ribosomal RNA
Rfam family: Bacterial small subunit ribosomal RNA
Source: RNAcentral
UACAGAGGGUGCGAGCGUUAAUCGGAAUUACUGGGCGCAAAGGGCGCGUAGGCGGCGUAUUAAGUUAGAUGUGAAAUCCCUGGGCUUAACCUAGGAACUGCAUCUAAUACUGGUAUGCUAGAGUGCGGUAGAGGGUAGUGGAAUUUCCGGUGUAGCGGUGAAAUGCGUAGAUAUCGGAAGGAACACCAGUGGCGAAGGCGGCUACCUGGACUGACACUGACGCUGAGGCGCGAAAGCGUGGGGAGCAAACAGG